RNAcentral lists this ribosomal RNA (336 nucleotides) under uncultured fungus. Its description in RNAcentral is "SSU rRNA". It matches the Rfam family "Eukaryotic small subunit ribosomal RNA", at positions 20 to 370 of the family's 1831-position model. The record is from RNAcentral. Lineage: Eukaryota; Fungi.
GUAGUCAUAUGCUUGUCUCAAAGAUUAAGCCAUGCAUGUCUAAGUAUAAACACGUUAUACUGUGAAACUGCGAAUGGCUCAUUAAAUCAGUUAUAGUUUAUUUGAUGGUUUUUGCUACAUGGAUAACUGUGGUAAUUCUAGAGCUAAUACAUGCGUACAAGCCCCGACUUCUGGAAGGGGUGUAUUUAUUAGAUAAAAAUCAACACUGUUGGUGAAUCAUGAUAACUUCUCGGAUCGCAUGGCCUCGUGCUGGCGAUACUUCAUUCAAAUAUCUGCCCUAUCAACUGUCGAUGGUAGGAUGGAGGCCUACCAUGGUUGCAACGGGUAACGGGGAAU